UACGGAGGGUGCAAGCGUUACUCGGAAUCACUGGGCGUAAAGGAUGCGUAGGCUGUAAUAUAAGUCAGAAGUGAAAUCCAACGGCUUAACCGUUGAACUGCUUUUGAAACUGUUUUACUAGAAUAUGGGAGAGGUAGAUGGAAUUGGUGGUGUAGGGGUAAAAUCCGUAGAUAUCACCAGGAAUACCGAUUGCGAAGGCGAUCUACUGGAACAUUAUUGACGCUGAGGCAUGAAAGCGUGGGGAGCAAACAGGAUUAGAUACCCUGGUAGUCCACGCCCUAAACGAUGCACACUAGUUGUUGCGAUGCUAGUCAUUGCAGUAAUGCACUUAACAGAUUAAGUGUGCCGCCUGGGGAGUACGGUCGCAAGAUUAAA
RNAcentral lists this ribosomal RNA (375 nucleotides) under uncultured bacterium. RNAcentral describes it as "bacterial SSU rRNA". It matches the Rfam family "Bacterial small subunit ribosomal RNA", at positions 524 to 898 of the family's 1533-position model. The record is from RNAcentral.